GACGAACGCUGGCGGCGUGCUUAACACAUGCAAGUCGAGCGGUAAGGCCCUUUCGGGGGUACACGAGCGGCGAACGGGUGAGUAACACGUGGGUGACCUGCCCUUAGCUCUGGGAUAAGCCUGGGAAACUGGGUCUAAUACCGGAUAUGACUCCAUAACGCAUGUUGUGGGGUGGAAAGCCUUGUGCGGCUAGGGAUGGGCCCGCGGCCUAUCAGCUUGUUGGUGGGGUGAUGGCCACCAAGGCGACGACGGGUAGCCGGCCUGAGAGGGCGACCGGCCACACUGGGACUGAGACACGGCCCAGACUCCUACGGGAGGCAGCAGUGGGGAAUCUUGCGCAAUGGGCGAAAGCCUGACGCAGCGACGCCGC
RNAcentral lists this ribosomal RNA (370 nucleotides) under uncultured bacterium. RNAcentral's name for it is "bacterial SSU rRNA". It matches the Rfam family "Bacterial small subunit ribosomal RNA", at positions 28 to 400 of the family's 1533-position model. The record is from RNAcentral.